AUGGCCUCGCCGGCGGUGGCGAUGCGGCGCCCGUCCCCCACCGUCCUCGCCUCCGCCCCUCGCCGCCGUCCCCGCCGUCACCAGGAGUAUUCACCUUCCAACAUGGGCUCCCCAAGCUCGGCUUCACGGUUAAAAGUUACUGCACUUUUUGGGUGGAUCAAGGGAGAUAGAUAUUCGAGAACUCGUGAAUUGAUCCCUUCUGCUGAAUCGUACACUCUCACAGGGUCAGCCUCAGAGGUGGACAUGAAGCCACGUGAGGUAUCGAUUUCUGUUGUCUCUUCUAUUAUGGACAUACCUCCGGCAGAGUGGGAUGCAUGUGCAGUUGAUUCAGUUGAGCCUGAAAAGUUUAAUCCUUUUCUUACACAUGCAUUUCUCUCAAGCUUAGAGGAAUCAGGUUCUGCAGUGAAGGAAACAGGGUGGUUACCUCUGCAUGUUGUUGCACGGGACGAGAACCAAAAUAUUUUAGGUGUUGUUCCGCUUUACCUUAAAAGCCAUUCUAGGGGUGAGUUUGUAUUCGAUCAGUCAUGGGCUGAAGCUUACCACAGCUAUGGACUUGAAUACUAUCCAAAGUUGCAGUCUUGUGUCCCUUUUACUCCAGUAACUGGUCAAAGAAUAUUACUUCGGGAUACAUCCUACCGGGAUCAAGUUUUUGAUGCUUUAGUAAAAGCUUUGAAGAAUUUGGCUACCAAGUUGAAUGUGUCAUCACUGCAUAUAACUUUUCCAUCUGAAGGUGAAUUUAGCAAGUUGAAGGAUAGUGGAUUGUUGCAAAGAGUUGGGCUGCAAUACCAUUGGACAAACCGAAAUUACAAAUGUUUUGAUGAUUUUUUGAUGGAUUUGAAGCAGCCCAAACGGAAGAAUAUCAGACAAGAACGUAAAAAGAUUCCUGCCCAGAACUUAAAAAUGAAGCGCCUCCGAGGAGAUGAAAUAAAGAGCAGCCACUGGGACACCUUCUAUAGAUUCUACCGUAACACAACUGAUAAUCACUGGGGCAGAGCAUACUUGACGCAGGAGUUCUUUCACCUUUUAGGAGAAAAGAUGGGCGACAAGGUAAUGCUAAUUGUUGCUGAACAUGAUGAUAAAGUUGUCGCUGGAGCUCUUAAUCUUAUUGGAGGCGAUACAUUAUAUGGCCGCUUAUGGGGAUGCCUACCAGAUGCUCAUUUCCCCAAUUUGCAUUUUGAAGCUUGCUAUUACCAGGCAAUCGAAGCGGCCAUAGAACUAAACCUGAGUAAGGUGGAAGCUGGUGCCCAGGGAGAGCACAAGAUCCAGCGUGGUUACCUCCCUGUGACAACUUACAGCUGCCACUACUUCUUAGAACCUGGUUUUGCGACAGCUAUUGGAAAUUUUCUUGUACAUGAGACAGCUCAGGUUAAGCAUGUCAUCAAUGUCCUGCAUGAAUCAGGUCCAUACAAGGAAGACAUAUUGAAAGAAUUUGCACCUCAACCAGACGGUGAAAUGUAG
Molecule: ribosomal RNA, 1458 nt
Filed under: Triticum aestivum (bread wheat)
Lineage: Eukaryota; Viridiplantae; Streptophyta; Magnoliopsida; Poales; Poaceae
Description: partial small subunit ribosomal RNA
Source: RNAcentral